UACAGAGGGUGCAAGCGUUGUUCGGAAUUAUUGGGCGUAAAGGGCGCGUAGGCGGUGCGGUAAGUCUGUAGUGAAAUCUAUGGGCUCAACUCAUAGUCUGCAUCGGAAACUGCCGGGCUUGAGUGUGGGAGAGGUGAGUGGAAUUCCACGUGUAGCGGUGAAAUGCGUAGAGAUGUGGAGGAACACCAGUGGCGAAGGCGACUCUCUGGGCUGUAACUGACGCUGAGGCGCGAAAGCGUGGGGAGCAAACAGG
RNAcentral lists this ribosomal RNA (253 nucleotides) under uncultured bacterium. RNAcentral's name for it is "partial 16S ribosomal RNA". It matches the Rfam family "Bacterial small subunit ribosomal RNA", at positions 524 to 776 of the family's 1533-position model. The record is from RNAcentral.